UACGUAGGGUGCUAGCGUUAUCCGGAUUUACUGGGCGUAAAGGGUGCGUAGGUGGUCUUUCAAGUCGGUGGUUAAAGGCUACGGCUCAACCGUAUUAAGCCGCCGAAACUGGAAGACUUGAGUGCAGGAGAGGAAAGUGGAAUUCUCAGUGUAGCGGUGAAAUGCGUAGAUAUUGAGAAGAACACCAGUAGCGAAGGCGGCUUUCUGGACUGUAACUGACACUGAGGCACGAAAGCGUGGGUAGCAAACAGGAUUAGAUACCCUGGUAGUCCACGCCGUAAACGAUGAGUAUUAGGUGUCGGGGGUUACCCCCCUCGGUGCCGCAGUUAACGCAUUAAAUACUCCGCCUGGGGAGUACGCACGCAAGUGUGAA
Molecule: ribosomal RNA, 373 nt
Filed under: uncultured bacterium
Lineage: Bacteria
Description: bacterial SSU rRNA
Rfam family: Bacterial small subunit ribosomal RNA
Source: RNAcentral